Molecule: ribosomal RNA, 207 nt
Filed under: uncultured bacterium
Lineage: Bacteria
Description: partial 16S ribosomal RNA
Rfam family: Bacterial small subunit ribosomal RNA
Source: RNAcentral
CAAGUAGGUGGUCUUAUUUGUCUAGGGUGAAAUCCUUGAGCUUAACUCAAGAAGUGCCCUAGAAACGGUGAGACUAGAGUUCUGGAGAGGGUCGUGGAAUUCCCGGUGUAGCGGUGAAAUGCGUAGAGAUCGGGAGGAACACCAGAGGCGAAGGCGGCGACCUGGACAGACACUGACACUCAACUGCGAAAGCGUGGGGAGCAAACA